GAUGAACGCUGGCGGCGUGCCUAAUACAUGCAAGUCGAGCGAACAGACGAGGAGCUUGCUCCUCUGACGUUAGCGGCGGACGGGUGAGUAACACGUGGAUAACCUACCUAUAAGACUGGGAUAACUUCGGGAAACCGGAGCUAAUACCGGAUAAUAUAUUGAACCGCAUGGUUCAAUAUUGAAAGACGGUUUUGCUGUCACUUAUAGAUGGAUCCGCGCCGCAUUAGCUAGUUGGUAAGGUAACGGCUUACCAAGGCAACGAUGCGUAGCCGACCUGAGAGGGUGAUCGGCCACACUGGAACUGAGACACGGUCCAGACUCCUAAGGGAGGCAGCAGUAGGGAAUCUUCCGCAAUGGGCGAAAGCCUGACGGAGCAACGCCGCGUGAGUGAUGAAGGUCUUCGGAUCGUAAAACUCUGUUAUUAGGGAAGAACAAAUGUGUAAGUAACUAUGCACGUCUUGACGGUACCUAAUCAGAAAGCCACGGCUAACUACGUG
Molecule: ribosomal RNA, 497 nt
Filed under: uncultured bacterium
Lineage: Bacteria
Description: partial 16S ribosomal RNA
Rfam family: Bacterial small subunit ribosomal RNA
Source: RNAcentral